UAACUUAGAGUUCGUUAGAGUUUGAAUCCUGACUCAGGAUGAACGCUGGCGGCGUGCCUAAUACAUGCAAGUCGAGCGAAUGGAUUAAGAGCUUGCUCUUAUGAAGUUAGCGGCGGACGGGUGAGUAACACGUGGGUAACCUGCCCAUAAGGCUGGGAUAACUCCGGGAAACCGGGGCUAAUACCGGAUAACAUUUUGAACCGCAUGGUUCGAAAUUGAAAGGCGGCUUCGGCUGUCACUUAUGGAUGGACCCGCGUCGCAUUAGCUAGUUGGUGAGGUAACGGCUCACCAAGGCACCGAUGCGUAGCCGACCUGAGAGGGUGAUCGGCCCCCCUGGGACUGAGACCCGGCCCAGACUCCUACGGGAGGCAGCAGUAGGGAAUUUUCCGCAAUGGACGAAAGUUUGACGGAGCAACGCCGCGUGAGUGAUGAAGGCUUUCGGGUUGUAAAACUUUGUUGUUAGGGAAGAACAAGUGAUAGUUGAAUAAGCUGGCACCUUGACGGUACCUAACCAGAAAGCCACGGCUAACUACGUGCCAGCAGCCGCGGUAAUACGUAGGUGGCAAGCGUUAUCCGGAAUUAUUGGGCGUAAAGCGCGCGCAGGUGGUUUCUUAAGUCUGAUGUGAAAGCCCCCGGCUCAACCGUGGAGGGUCAUUGGAAACUGGGAGACUUGAGUGCAGAAGAGGAAAGUGGAAUUCCAUGUGUAGCGGUGAAAUGCGUAGAGAUAUGGAGGAACACCAGUGGCGAAGGCGACUUUCUGGUCUGUAACUGACACUGAGGCGCGAAAGCGUGGGGAGCAAACAGGAUUAGAUACCCUGGUAGUCCACGCCGUAAACGAUGAGUGCUAAGUGUUAGAGGGUUUCCGCCCUUUAGUGCUGCAAGUUACCGCAUUAAGCACUCCGCCGGGAUCCCCGAU
RNAcentral lists this ribosomal RNA (916 nucleotides) under Bacillus sp. (in: firmicutes). RNAcentral describes it as "bacterial SSU rRNA". It matches the Rfam family "Bacterial small subunit ribosomal RNA", at positions 1 to 886 of the family's 1533-position model. The record is from RNAcentral. Lineage: Bacteria; Bacillati; Bacillota; Bacilli; Caryophanales; Bacillaceae.